Molecule: ribosomal RNA, 621 nt
Filed under: uncultured fungus
Lineage: Eukaryota; Fungi
Description: eukaryotic LSU rRNA
Rfam family: Eukaryotic large subunit ribosomal RNA
Source: RNAcentral
ACCCGCUGAACUUAAGCAUAUCAAUAAGCGGAGGAAAAGAAACCAACAGGGAUUGCCCCAGUAACGGCGGGUGAAGCGGCAACAGCUCAAAUUUGAAAUCUGGCCCCCAGGGUCCGAGUUGUAAUUUGCAGAGGAUGCUUUUGGCAAGGUGCCUUCCGAGUUCCCUGGAACGGGACGCCAUAGAGGGUGAGAGCCCCGUCUGGUUGGAUACCGAGCCUCUGUAAAGCUCCUUCGACGAGUCGAGUAGUUUGGGAAUGCUGCUCUAAAUGGGAGGUAUAUGUCUUCUAAAGCUAAAUAUUGGCCAGAGACCGAUAGCGCACAAGUAGAGUGAUCGAAAGAUGAAAAGCACUUUGAAAAGAGGGUUAAAUAGUACGUGAAAUUGUUGAAAGGGAAGCGCUCAUGACCAGACUUGGGCCCGGUGAAUCAUCCAGCGCUCGUCGCUGGUGCACUUUGCCGGGCUCAGGCCAGCAUCAGUUCGCUCCGGGGGACAAAGGCUCUGGGAAUGUGGCUCCUCCGGGAGUGUUAUAGCCCACUGCGCAAUACCCUGGGGCGGACUGAGGUUCGCGCAUUCGUGCAAGGAUGCUGGCGUAAUGGUCAUCAGUGACCCGUCUUGAAACACGG